AGAGUUUGAUCAUGGCUCAGAAUGAACGUUGGCGGCGUGGAUUAGGCAUGCAAGUCGAGGGAGAACCCGCAAGGGGGACACCGGCGAACGGGGUAGGAUCACGUAGGUGACGUACCCCCAGGGCGAGGAUAGCCACGGGAAACUGUGGGUAAUACUCGAUAACCUUCCCGAUCAUGAUCGAAUGGGAAGCAAUGGGUGUGAUUCCACCUGGGGAGCGGCUUACGCAGUAUCAGCUAGUUGGUGAGGUAACGGCUCACCAAGGCAUUGACGCUUAGGGGGUGUGAGAGCAUGGCCCCCACCACUGGCACUGAGACACUGGCCAGACACCUACGGGUGGCUGCAGUCGAGAAUCUUCGGCAAUGGACGAAAGUCUGACCGAGCGACGCCGCGUGCGGGAUGAAGGUCUUCGGAUUGUAAACCGCUGUCGGAGGGGAUGAAGUAUACGAGAGCAAUCUCUUGUAUUUGACAGAGCCUCGGAGGAAGCACGGGCUAAGUUCGUGCCAGCAGCCGCGGUAAUACGAACUGUGCGAACGUUAUUCGGAAUCACUGGGCUUAAAGGGUGCGUAGGCGGUCAUCUAAGUCACGUGUGAAAUCUUCUGGCUCAACCAGAAAACUGCGCGUGAAACUAGUUGACUUGAGUGAGGUAGGGGUGUGUGGAACUUCCGGUGGAGCGGUGAAAUGUGUAGAGAUCGGAAGGAACGCCAGCAGCGAAAGCGGCACACUGGGCCUUUUCUGACGCUGAGGCACGAAAGCUAGGGGAGUGAACGGGAUUAGAUACCCCGGUAGUCC
This 789-nucleotide ribosomal RNA is filed under the name uncultured bacterium. RNAcentral's name for it is "bacterial SSU rRNA". It matches the Rfam family "Bacterial small subunit ribosomal RNA", at positions 8 to 796 of the family's 1533-position model. The record is from RNAcentral.